Oenanthe melanoleuca is the source of this 94-nucleotide long non-coding RNA. RefSeq lists it as uncharacterized. The record is from RefSeq and is a predicted model, not a curated record. NCBI's taxonomy places the organism in Eukaryota, Metazoa, Chordata, Aves, Passeriformes, Muscicapidae. The transcript is spliced from 3 exons.
CCCCAGGUGCCCCAGGUGUGUCCCAGGUGCCCCCAGGUGUGUCCCAGGUGCCCCCAGGUGUGUCCCAGGUGUGUCCCAGCUGUCCCCAGGUGCC